RNAcentral lists this unclassified non-coding RNA (560 nucleotides) under Hevea brasiliensis (rubber tree). The record is from RNAcentral. Lineage: Eukaryota; Viridiplantae; Streptophyta; Magnoliopsida; Malpighiales; Euphorbiaceae.
ACUGACAAUCCUUUAAAAUCUACACUCUAGAUUUCAAAGGAUUGUCAGUAUAUGAUCUACUAAAUACACUUCACUUUGUUCUUAAUUAGCUAUAACUAAAAGAACACUAAUGAAUUAUACAAAUUGGACAUCAAUCAAGUAGCUACAAUAUAUACAGAUUACAUUUUUACAAUGAAACUCUACAUAGGGAAGCCAUAGUUUUGAUACCCCAUUGAACCUCCUUGGUUUGGCAUAUGGCUUGCUAGGGGCAUAUCAUGAAAAACAGAGGGUUGGUGAAUUGGAGCAAUUGGAGCACUUGGAGGAGGGAUCCAAUUUUGAUUGACAGGCACAACACUCGAGUUGUUAUCGAUGGUGGUGAUAUCAUGGAUGCUUGACCUUUUUCUCUCUUUCUUCACAGAAUUUUGCCGUAGGAAGUACUUUUGGGCAUGACUAGCCACUUGCGUUGGUGUUCUUGUCACCACAACAUUCCUGGAAAUGCUUCUCCAAUCACCCUUGCCAAAUCUUUUUAGUCCAAUUAAAAAUUUCCUGUGUUCUUCUUCCGUCCACGGUGUUCCUUUCUU